Non-coding RNA from Cajanus cajan (pigeon pea), 198 nucleotides. Lineage: Eukaryota; Viridiplantae; Streptophyta; Magnoliopsida; Fabales; Fabaceae. The record is from RefSeq and is a predicted model, not a curated record.
CAUAUUGCAGAAAGUUAAUAGUGUCCAAGAAGAAGCAACUCUCAAUGUUUGUGGAUGAGCUACUCCUGUCAGAACUUGUGCUUUCAUAUUCACCCAAAAGCGAACAAGCUUGGAAUCAUAGGCGGUGGGUGAUCAAGUCAAUCUCUGCAAAUUGUUCAAAUUUCAAAGAGAUUUUGGGAAAAGAAUCUGAGCUGGUGG